UACAGAGGGGCAAGCGUUGUUCGGAAUUACUGGGCGUAAAGGGCGCGUGGUGGCCUGUUAAGUCGAACGUGAAAUCCCUGGGCUCAACCCAGGAACUGCGUCCGAUACUGGCAGGCUUGAAUUCGGGAGAGGGAUGCGGAAUUCCAGGUGUAGCGGUGAAAUGCGUAGAUAUCGGGAGGAACACCGGUGGCGAAGGCGGCGACCUGGGUCGGACACUGACGCUGAGGCGCGAAAGCGUGGGGAGCAAACAGGGAUUAGAUACCCGGUGUAAGAUC
Molecule: ribosomal RNA, 275 nt
Filed under: uncultured bacterium
Lineage: Bacteria
Description: partial 16S ribosomal RNA
Rfam family: Bacterial small subunit ribosomal RNA
Source: RNAcentral